CUGAUCGCUGCAAGAAUAUAAUGCUCAGUUAGCAGAGAAAUUUAACAGAAAAUGAAAGCAAAAAUCAACUGUACUGUCAUUUAGCCUCAUCAGUAUCGUCAUCGUUAAAGACAAUAUAGUAAUUAUGCUAAUCAUCAAGAAAUGCAUUGGUUUCCCCAUAUAAAGAUCUAUAAACAAAUCCCCUAAAUAUGGAUUUCAAAUGGACCACCUUUCAUACAGUGCACACCCAACCUCAAAAUCAAAGGAUCCCAUAAAACCAUACUUCGUAAGCAUCAUAUAGUGAAAACCAAAUAAUGGAAGUGCUUCAUUAAAAAAAUCCAGCAGUUUAGAAACAAUGCUCAGGUGAAUUAUGCUAAUCAUCAAGAAAUGCAUGGUUUCCCCAUAUAAAGCAUCAUAUAGCGAAAACCAAAUAAUGGAAGUGCUUCAUUAAAAAAAUCCAGCAGUUUAGAAACAAUGCUCAGGUGAAUUAUGCUAAUCAUCAAGAAAUGCAUGGUUUCCCCAUAUAAAGCAUCAUAUAGCGAAAACCAAAUAAUGGAAGUGCUUCAUUAAAAAAAUCCAGCAGUUUAGAAACAAUGCUCAGGUAAAUUAUGCUAAUCAUCAAGAAAUGCAUUGGUUUCCCCAUAUAAAGGUCUAUCAAAAAAUCCCCUAAAUAUGGAUUUCAAAUGGACCACCUUUCAUACAGUGCACAACCAACCUCAAAAUCAAAGGAUCCCAUAAAACCAUACUACCUAAGCAUCAUAUAGCAAAAACCAAAUAAUGGAAGUGCUUCAUUAAAAAAAUCCAGCAGUUUAGAAACAAUGCUCAGGUGAAUUAUGCUAAUCAUCAAGAAAUGCAUUGGUUUCCCCAUAUAAAGGUCUAUCAACAAAUCCCCUAAAUAUGGAUUUCAAAUGGACCACCUUUCAUACAGUGCACACCCAACCUCAAAAUCAAAGGAUCCCAUAAAACCAUACUACCUAAGCAUCAUAUAGCGAAAACCAAAUAAUGGAAGUGCUUCAUUAAAAAAAUCCAGCAGGUUAGAAACAACGCUCAGUGAAUUAUGCUAAUCAUCAAGAAAUGCAUUGGUUUCCCCAUAUAAAGGUCCAUCAACAAAUCCCCUAAAUAUGGAUUUCAAAUGGACCACCUUUCAUACAGUGCACACCCAACCUCAAAAUCAAAGGAUCCCAAAAAACCAUACUACUUAAGCAUCAUAUAGCGAAAACCAAAUAAUGGAAGUGCUUCAUUAAAAAAUCCAGCAGUUUAGAAACAAUGCUCAGGUGAAUUAGAGAUCAAGCUGGGUGCCUCAAUUCAACAGCAGCAAAUGAUCUUAAGAAGUAUUGCUGAUUGUUGUGAAGUUAUUUGAGUUUUCCAAGUUCCUUCAUUCUUGAAAAAAUUUGAACCUUUUGUAACAUCUUCUUUCAAAAUUUUCAUUUAAAGGUGAACCAAAAUUUUUCAUAAAAUUAUCAUAAACAUAAUGAAAUUGGUAACUAGACACCAAAAAAUUAUAAAAUAAACCACAAUCUGCAUAACAACUAAAGGCGCAAUAAAUGCAUAUUCAAGCAAAGGCAAACAACCAUAGAUGAUAAAAUUCAAACAACUGCCCAAGGCCCUAUACUGAAAUACAACUACUUAGUAAUUAAAAAUUGCUCCAACUGUAACAGAACAAUCCAUUGUUAAAAUGGCCAAGGAAAUACAAUAAGAUGUGUUGAAAUUAUGGCAGCCUAGAAAAAACAACACCACAUCCCAAUCAACCAAUAAGUAAGCUCUCAGGUGAAAAAGCAUGAAACAAGUCAAGAAGCAUUUUGGAACAAAAACUAAACUUGGGUGCACCAACAAACAAAUUGGACUCUCAAGCACUCAAGGAAAUCUAAUAAAGUAGAUGGACAAUAUGCCAUUUCCAAUAUUGCAAAUAGCUAAUUACGAUAUUCUUCUAGCCAAGUUUAAUAGCAAAAGGAGCGGACUAAAAUGUCAAACAAGAUCAAGAGACAAAGCAAGUUCACAGUCAGAAGAAAACCCAAAAAAAAAAAAAACUUAUUGCACAUCACAUCUUCCUCAUUGUUCAGUGUUUU
This is a non-coding RNA of Carica papaya (papaya), 2045 nucleotides long. Lineage: Eukaryota; Viridiplantae; Streptophyta; Magnoliopsida; Brassicales; Caricaceae. The record is from RefSeq and is a predicted model, not a curated record.